UCCGAGUUGACCCCGGCAGUCUCCUAUGAGUCCCCGCCAUCACGCGCUGGCAACAUAGAACGAGGGUUGCGCUCGUUGCGGGACUUAACCCAACAUCUCACGACACGAGCUGACGACAACCAUGCACCACCUGUGAACCGGCCGCAAGCGGGGCACCCAUCUCUGGGUGUUUCCGGUAUAUGUCAAGCCUUGGUAAGGUUCUUCGCGUUGCAUCGAAUUAAUCACAUGCUCCGCCGCUUGUGCGGGCCCCCGUCGAUUCCUUUGAGUUUUAGCCUUGCGGCCGUACUCCCCAGGCGGGGAACUUAAUGCGUUAGCUGCGGCACGGAUCUCGUGGAAUGAGACCCACACCUAGUUCCCAACGUUUACGGCGUGGACUAC
Molecule: unclassified non-coding RNA, 378 nt
Filed under: uncultured Intrasporangiaceae bacterium
Lineage: Bacteria; Bacillati; Actinomycetota; Actinomycetes; Micrococcales; Intrasporangiaceae
Description: contains 16S-23S intergenic spacer region
Source: RNAcentral